Non-coding RNA from Chelonoidis abingdonii (Abingdon island giant tortoise), 107 nucleotides. Lineage: Eukaryota; Metazoa; Chordata; Testudines; Testudinidae. The record is from RefSeq and is a predicted model, not a curated record.
CAACUGUUGAGAACAGUCCACUUCCAACUUAAUUGAAGUGGCUCGUUAGUGCUGACCCACCACUUGGUAAGGCAAUUCCCAUCUUUUCAUAUUCUUUGCAUUCAAAC